This 315-nucleotide ribosomal RNA is filed under the name Triticum aestivum (bread wheat). RNAcentral's name for it is "partial small subunit ribosomal RNA". The record is from RNAcentral. Lineage: Eukaryota; Viridiplantae; Streptophyta; Magnoliopsida; Poales; Poaceae.
AUGCACGCGCACGGAAAGAAGAUCAGACGGUUGUCGAGCUCGGGAUCCUACGGCUACCGAGGUGGUGGGUGUUUUCUAAACAUCACCCGGACGACGCGUAGCAGGCCCCAUUUGGAAAACAAGAUCAGAAAAUCAGAAAUAGCAGAACUAGCACACCGUCCAUUGUGGUGGGCUGCGAAAGGCCCAGUUUCGCUGCGGUGCCGACGGGCCCAGACCUCAUGUUUUUUCGUUAUACCGGACAACGAAAUGAUCGGGAUAAGUCUCUUUCUGUUCUUCAUUUUUCUCACACAUUUCUUCCGAUUCCAGUCCAUUUAA